CUUAGCUCAGUUGGUAGAGCAAUUGACUCUUAAUCAAUGGGUCCAGGGUUCGAGUCCCUG
Molecule: transfer RNA, 60 nt
Filed under: human gut metagenome
Also listed under: 2 other names
Rfam family: tRNA
About the family: Transfer RNA (tRNA) molecules are approximately 80 nucleotides in length.
Source: RNAcentral